AUUCAAACGAAACGUAGGUAUUGUUGAGAAAUUCAUUACUAAACGGACAAAGAUAAAUUUUGUUAUUUUCAAUGUCACCGGCACGUAAACGUUGGUUAUUCUAGAAAGUAUCACUGUGAUUUCACCUGAAUAAUAUGGAUUAUGGACGAUGUCAACUCUAUAAUAAUCUGUCUGGCUGUUCCUAGUUAAAUGUGUAUUGUUGAGUGAGUUGAAUUUUCGUUCAAUAUGGGAGAAGGUUGUUGCCUAAUUUAGGUACUCAAUUCGUAAAGUUUUUUGAUUUUAUCAAAAUGGAAACGUCAAAAAGUGACAUUAAAAAUAUGAACAUUACUGAGCCACCCAGAGAAGGUGAGAGUCAAGAAAUGGGAAUGGGAAUACUGAAAUCAAAAUCAGAUGACAUUCGAAAUUAUGGAGUGACGUCAUCGCAAAGUUCAAAUACGGAAGUGGAAAUUGAUGUAAGCAAUUGCAAGAAUGAUGAAAGUAAGGGAGAUUCGUCAAAGUGGUGGCAGAAGGUGAAAACAUUUUGGAAUCAUCCAGCUGGACCGAUGACAAUAUUUUUUUGGGCGCCUGCUUUGAAAUGGGGUUUAGUCAUAGCAGGUUUGAGCGAUUUGCAGAGACCUGCAGAAAAACUCAGCGCGCUACAAACAAUAGCUUUACUUGCCACAGGAAUUAUAUGGUGUAGAUAUUCAUUUGCUAUUACUCCUAAGAACUAUAGUCUAUUCAGUGUCAAUUUGUUCAUAGCUCUCACUCAAAGCUAUCAGUUUUAUAGGUCUAUUAAAUAUCAAUAUUUUUCAAGUGGGACUUGAUUAUAUCAAAUGUGAUAUAAAUGUGAAUUGUUAAUUUUAAGUAUUGAUACAGCUGAAUAUUGUAUAUUGUUUUAUGAACAAACAAUUUUCAUAUAUCUUUUUAUUAUAUCAAUUAACGUUGUCUAUAUUCAUAUAUUUUUAAAUUAUCAACUUCAUUAAAUAUUACUACAUUCCUUUCUUCCCUUGCAGAGGAAAUCCAACAACUGAUUUAAAAUCUGCUUUGCUUUUUUGAGAAUAGUUUUUUCACCCUUCAGUUUAACAAUUUUGCUAUUCUAGUAAAUCAACAAUAUGUCAAGUUUUCAAUAUUUCAAUCAACCACACAAAACGUUGAAAAUUUAUGUCAACCUUGUGAAAUAUGAAAAUCUAGAAAUGAAGUAUUAAAAACACAAUUUAUUGUAUAGUGACGUAGCAAAAAAUAUGAUUGUAUAGCCUGAAUUUUUGGGUAUUACUUAGGAAAGGAUACUUCAAGAAAAAAUAUCAUUCUUUCUACCAAAACCAGAACGAUAAGUAUAUUAGCAGUGAGUGACAAGAAUACUUAACCUAAUAGGAAAAUCUCCAAUAAAAUAUAGUUUGAAUUUCAAAUAUUGAAAAAAAAUUUAAUUCACAUGAUUAAUUAUCUGGCAUUUCUCCUCCUGGAACCAACUAAAAAAAAAUCUCAUUUAUUUCUUCUGAAAUUUUCCACCCAAUGUUUCAUCUUACCAUUGUGAUAUUAUUUCCAUUCAAUAAAAUUUGGUCUAGUUUUGUUA
This is a long non-coding RNA of Harmonia axyridis, 1549 nucleotides long. RefSeq lists it as uncharacterized. Lineage: Eukaryota; Metazoa; Arthropoda; Insecta; Coleoptera; Coccinellidae. The transcript is spliced from 2 exons. The record is from RefSeq and is a predicted model, not a curated record.